This is a long non-coding RNA of Lotus japonicus, 1479 nucleotides long. RefSeq lists it as uncharacterized. The record is from RefSeq and is a predicted model, not a curated record. The transcript is spliced from 2 exons. Lineage: Eukaryota; Viridiplantae; Streptophyta; Magnoliopsida; Fabales; Fabaceae.
UGCUUGAUGACAGACUUUGAUUUUCCUGUUAUGUUUUUCUUGAGAAAUAGACUAAGUGGAUUGAAUUGCUUGAGAAAUUAGCUUUGAGCACUUUGAAUUUAUAUUUUCAAUGAUGAAAAACUGAAUCCUUUAAUUUUAGGGAUUGAUUACAGCAAUGUCCUGAUGUAAACUAUAUUUACAACUAAUCAAAUCAAUAUUGACAAGGAAAGAACUAAAUUAGGGGAAUAGGAAAAUGUUAGAUGCAGACGUUCAAAUCUCUACAAGCGCGUAUCUCUAAUUGAGGGAUUCAUUUAUCAUUUUUUGAUAAAAUACAAAUUUAUUAUCAACUGGAAAUGAGAGAGGGGUUGUGAGUUGUUCUUGAUGAUUCAAACAUUUGAUGGAACGGAGACCUAUUGGUGGCUGAUCAAUGUGCAACAAUAUUGUGACACCCUAGGAGUAAACAGGGAGAGGAAGAUAUCAAUAAAUUUUUGCAUUGGAGACCAUAAAUAUAAAAGGAAUGCAAAGAAAGGAAGAGAGAUGAGAAAGAGUGAUUAAGGGUAUAGAAAUAUGAGAGAGAGAGAGAUAGAAUCUGAAUGAUGUAUUGCAUUGCUUAGAAAAUGAAUACAAAUGGUAAGUUGAUACAAAGGGUAAGCUCUAUAUAUUGAAGAGCUAUGAGCUAUAUCACCUAGCUUACAUGAGAAGCUAUGGGCUGUCUAAGUUGAUAUCGCAGUAAAAGCAUAAAAAGUAGUGUAAUAAUUCCUAGCUAUUGAAAAUCUUAUCAAGAUAAAAAUGAUUAAUAUCAUGAUGUUUAUUUUAUAUAAUUUUUCAGGUGUUAUGAAAGCUAGAUUUUAUGGAAAGUUCUUCUCAGAUGAGAAGAUGCAUGAAGAGGAAUUACCAAGGAUCUGAUCAUUUAGGUUCUGCAGCUAAUUAUGAGGAUUACACAGGGGACAAUAAGAAUAAUGGUCAAAGCGCUCCAAUUUUUUCAACAAUAGCGAUCUCAAUAGAGGGUUGUAAAUGAAGAUGAACAGAGGGAAACUGAGAAUUUGGAUGCUAAGGUCAAUACCAUUAAAGAUAGAGUAGAAAAUCGGCCUAGAUUUUCUGAAGCAACUGAGAAAAUUGUACUAGAAUCUUUAAAAUCUGCGGAUACUCAACAUGAAAAUGAUGAAGGUGUUCUUCAAAGUUCUUCAGCCUUUGCACCUGGGAUUGUGAACCUAGAGCAUUAUUGAAGCUAUUCCAGCACAGGGCAGUCCUAUAUCUUCCAGAAAUUGCUUGAUUAGUUCCAGCUCUAUAAGGUUUCUUUUCUUGCCUCUUGACUGUAUGCUGUUCCAAUUGACUGUUUUAUAGAAAUGUAAUAUUUCCAAAUGGAGUUUCCUUAACAUGAACAAGCAAAGGGAUUGGGCAGUUUUGCACCAUUUCAGUUUUGUUUUCGCUUUCUCACAAUUAUUUUAUUUACUCUUUCUCAAUACUUUAAAAUGUGUCAUACAAAUGCAUCAUUAUCUU